AUUGAACGCUGGCGGCAUGCUUUACACAUGCAAGUCGAACGGCAGCACAGGGAGCUUGCUCUUCAAAUCGAGUGGCGAACGGGUGAGUAACGCGUGAGGAACCUGCCUCAAAGAGGGGGACAACAGUUGGAAACGACUGCUAAUACCGCAUAAGCCCACGGCUCGGCAUCGAGCAGAGGGAAAAGGAGCGAUCCGCUUUGAGAUGGCCUCGCGUCCGAUUAGCUAGUUGGUGAGGUAACGGCCCACCAAGGCGACGAUCGGUAGCCGGACUGAGAGGUUGAACGGCCACAUUGGGACUGAGACACGGCCCAGACUCCUACGGGAGGCAGCAGUGGGGAAUAUUGCACAAUGGGGGAAACCCUGAUGCAGCGACGCCGCGUGGAGGAAGAAGGUCUUCGGAUUGUAAACUCCUGUUGUUGAGGAAGAUAAUGACGGUACUCAACAAGGAAGUGACGGCUAACUACGUG
Molecule: ribosomal RNA, 467 nt
Filed under: uncultured bacterium
Lineage: Bacteria
Description: bacterial SSU rRNA
Rfam family: Bacterial small subunit ribosomal RNA
Source: RNAcentral